UAGGAGGGAGAGGUGCUGCCUAAAAUGACACAUUGCUUGUCCAGGAAGGAGAUUUCGCCCUAGGGGUAAGAUGCUGGGGGUUCCAGGACCAUUCCAAGGCCUGCCAAGAACCUCCGAUCCCAGGGUGUGCUGGGACCAGAUCCUAGCAGAAGUAUCAUCAAAGAGACCAGGGAGACUUCAUCCGGAAACUGAUGGGAACAGGAAAUCACAAGGCAACUGGAGCCAACAUCUGCUGAUCUCAGAGUCUCAUCCUCUAAUUCACUGACAGUAAAUCUCAGGACUUGAGGUUUUGAAGAAUUCCUGGAGUCAGAACUGUAGUCACCAGGCUGAAAUGACCCCAGAUACUUACUUCAGAAACAAGCCUAGACCGUGCAAGUGUGGGAAGCAUCAAGGCUUAGUGAUCAUGUGUUGGAGAAGUUCUCCAAUUAGGUGGGCAGUCAUAAACCGUAAACCAUGGUUCAUAAACCAUGUCUGCUUUCCUGAGAGACUGGUCCCCCAACUCCACCAGUCAUAGCUCUACUUUGGCCAAUCCCCUACCUACGAUAGGACUUCCAGGAGACCACCUACAGGGGAGCCUCAGUUUCUCACUUGUAAAAUAAUGUAAUGUCCUCGUCUGUUUAAAGAUUCUAAACCAGAAGUUAGAGCUCCUCCUCCCACUGAGUCAGUAUCAAGUCCGCUGUAUCUCCACAAAUCUCCUUUAUCUGUACUGUACCAGCCUCCCCCUCACGCCUCACAGUGAUGAGUCACCCUCUCUGCAGCUCCCUUGAGGCUAACUGAAAUAGUCCCCAAACUGGUUUUGCCUGCCCAUAGACUCAUCAAGGCCCAACAAUCAGACUGCCUCAAGCUCUUACAUGGACUCCCUGUCAUAAUAACGUCCAAAUCCUUUCGUGUAGCGCAGUCCUCUAGGCCCUCAAGAUCCUACUUGCUCGUUCCUUCAACCAAACCACCUCUGCAGUGCCCGCCCAUGUCGUAGCUCCCUGAGCUGCAGUCCCUGGAUCCUCCAUACUUCCUUCUCCUUCUCCUUUGUACACGAUGUUCCCUCAGCUCAGAAAGCCGGUUCUCCCCCUGUGUUUGUCCCUCUGUGCUCCAUUCCAGGUGACUUCCUCCAAUCUGUUCUCUCAGCCCUC
Molecule: non-coding RNA, 1127 nt
Organism: Rattus norvegicus (Norway rat)
Lineage: Eukaryota; Metazoa; Chordata; Mammalia; Rodentia; Muridae
Source: RefSeq, a predicted model, not a curated record